AGGGAAUAUUGGACAAUGGGGGAAACCCUGAUCCAGCAAUGCCGCGUGAGUGAAGAAGGCCUUCGGGUUGUAAAACUCUUUCAUCAAUGAUGAUAAUGACAUUAGUUGAAGAAGAAGCUCCGGCUAACUUCGUGCCAGCAGCCGCGGUAAUACGAAGGGGGCUAGCGUUGUUCGGAAUCACUGGGCGUAAAGCGUAUGUAGGCGGAUCAAAAAGUUAGAUGUGAAAUCCCUGGGCUCAACCCAGGAACUGCAUUUAAAACUAGUGAUCUAGAAAUUGGUAAGGGUUAGUAGAAUUUCCAGUGUAGAGGUGAAAUUCGUAGAUAUUGGAAAGAAUACCAGAAGCGAAGGCGACUAACUAGGCCAUUUUUGACGCUGAGAUACGAAAGCGUGGGUAGCAAAC
RNAcentral lists this ribosomal RNA (400 nucleotides) under uncultured Alphaproteobacteria bacterium. Its description in RNAcentral is "bacterial SSU rRNA". It matches the Rfam family "Bacterial small subunit ribosomal RNA", at positions 356 to 773 of the family's 1533-position model. The record is from RNAcentral. Lineage: Bacteria; Pseudomonadati; Pseudomonadota; Alphaproteobacteria.